AUGGCUGAUCGUUCCGUGCCGCAGAAGCAACAGGGACACACUCAGUCCUACUCCAUCGAUCCACACUGGUACAUGGACUCUGGGGCGACAGAGCAUCUGACCAGCGAGAUGGGGAAGCUUCACACUCGUGAACCCUAUCAUGGCUCCGACAAGAUCCACACCGCCAAUGGAGCAGGUAUGCACAUCUCUCAUAUUGGUCAAGCAUCUCUUCUCACUAGACAUGCCAAUAGGAGUCUUCAGCUUCGCAAUGUUCUUCGAGUUCCAUCUGUGACCCGUAAUCUUCUUUCAGUUCCUAAACUCACACGUGAUAAUAAUGUGCUUUGUGAAUUUCACCCUUUUGAUCUUUUUAUUAAGGAUCGGGGCACGAGGGACAUUCUUCUUAGUGGGCGGUUGUGCCAGGGCCUCUACCGUCUGGAGCAUCCUGGCGUCGCCCGUGUUUUUAGUGGAGUUCGGGUCUCUCCGUCACAGUGGCAUGCUCGUCUUGGUCACCCGACCACACCUAUUGUCCGUCAUAUUUUGCGUCGUCAUGAGCUUCCUAGUUUGUCUAGUAAUAAAGAUGUAGCAGUGUGUGAUGCUUGUCAGCAGGGGAAGAGUCAUCAACUUCCUUUUUCGGAGUCCAGUCGUGAGGUGAAACAUCCUUUAGAACUUGUGUUUUCAGAUGUAUGGGGUCCUGCUCAGACUUCUGUCAGUGGUCAUAAUUACUAUAUCAGUUUCGUUGAUGCUUAUAGUCGCUUUACCUGGCUUUACCUUAUUAAACGCAAAUCUGAUGUGUUUGAUAUUUUUGUUCAGUUUCAGAAACAUGUUGAACGUCUUCUCAAGCACAAAAUUGUUCAUGUCCAGUCGGACUGGGGGGGCGAGUAUCGCAACCUCAACUCCUUCUUUCAGUCGCUUGGGAUAGCUCAUCGUUUAGCAUGUCCACAUACACAUCAGCAGAAUGGUUCAGUAGAACGUAAGCAUCGUCAUAUUGUUGAAGCUGGUCUUACUCUUUUGGCCCAUGCAUCUGUUCCGUUUCGGUUUUGGAGUGAUGCUUUCACCACUGCAUGCUUUCUCAUCAACCGUACUCCCACUCGUGUUUUAAACAUGAAGACUCCCAUUGAGGUUCUCCUUAAUGAACAACCUGAUUAUACCUUUUUCAAGGUAUUUGGGUGUGCUUGA
This 1155-nucleotide ribosomal RNA is filed under the name Triticum aestivum (bread wheat). Its description in RNAcentral is "partial small subunit ribosomal RNA". Lineage: Eukaryota; Viridiplantae; Streptophyta; Magnoliopsida; Poales; Poaceae. The record is from RNAcentral.